Molecule: long non-coding RNA, 3682 nt
Filed under: Oryzias sinensis (Chinese medaka)
Lineage: Eukaryota; Metazoa; Chordata; Actinopteri; Beloniformes; Adrianichthyidae
Description: lncRNA (ENSOSIG00000000747.1)
Source: RNAcentral
AUGCAAAUUCAGAAGGAAGUGACAGAUGUGGAAGAGGAGGAGGAGGAGGAAGCUGAUGGAGAGGAGGAUGAGGAAGAAGAGGAUGAGGAGGCUGUUGAAGAGGAGUUAGUAAAAGAGGAGGGUGAGGAAGAAGAUGAUGAUGAGUAUGAAGAAUAUGAUGAAGAGGAGUUUGCUGAAGAAUAUGAAGAUUAUUAUGGUGAAGAUGCAGAAGCAGAAGAAGACGAGGAGGAGGAAAGCGAGGAGGAUGAAGAAGAAGAGGAGUGGGAAGGAGAGGAAGAAGAAUUAGUAGAAGAGGAAGAAGUAGAUGAGGUUGAAGAUGGAGCUGAAGACGAAGGGGAAGAAGUAGAAGAUGAGGAUGAAGAUGGAGCUGAAGAGGAAGGGGAAGAAUUAGUAGAAGAGGAUGAAGAGGAGGAGGAAGGGGAGGAAGAAGAAGUAGUAGAUGGAGAUGAAGAAGAGGAAGAAGAAGGGGAGGGGGAGGAAGCAGGAGAAGAGGAUGAAGAAGGAGCUGAAGAAGAGGAAGAAGGGGAGGCAGAAGAAGUAGUAGAAGAGGAUGAGGAAGGAACUGAAGAGGAGGAGGAAGGGGAGGAAGAAGAAGUAGUAGAUGGAGAUGUAGGAGAUGAGGAAGAGGAAGAAGAAGGGGAGGUGGAGGAAGUAGGAGAAGAGGAUGAAGAAGGAGCUGAAGAAGAGGAAGAAGGAGAGGUGGAAGAAGUAGAAAACAUAGAAACUGAGGAGGAUGGGGAUGGAGAGGAUGAGCAAGGUGGAGUCAGUGAGGAAGAUAUUGUGGAAGAGGGGGAGGAAGAGGAGUUAGAGAAAAUGGAAGAGGGAGAUAAAGAAGAGAAGGAAGACAAAGAUAAACAAUUGCAAGAAGACAUCACAGAGGAUGAAGACGACAAGGAUAUAGAAGAGGACAAAGCAGUUGAACCGCCUGCUGAUGAAGACAUGGGUGAGGUGGAAGCAGAGGAAGCAGAUGAAGAUGACGAGGCACCUGCAACUGCAGAUCAAGAUGAAGACAAAGAUGAGGCGGAACCUGAACCAAAGCCUGAGGAUAAAGACGAGGAGGAUUUGGCAGAGGAAGCAGCUGAUGAAGACGAGAACAAAGAUGAAAAAAUGUCUGAGGCAGAGGAGGAAGAUGAGGCUGUAGCCACAGAUGAGCCAGUUGAAGAAGAAGAAGAAGAAGAAGAAGAGUCCUCAGAAAAAGUUUCCCCUGAACCUGUUUUCACGUCAGAGGAUGAAGAGUUUGCUCUGUCCAUGGAUUCUGAAGCUGAGGCAUUUGAUGAUCUGAAAGAGAGUGAUGAAGACCUAACUCUGUCUGAUGAAGAAGAUACAACUGGUGAUGAAGAAUUUUUCGACUCUUCAGAUGUCAGUGAAUCGUUACUUCUUUCAAGUGAUGAAGAGGAAGGAAAAGAUGAGAGUUCAGAUGAGGAUGUUCCAACAUCUGACAGUGAUGAUUUACCUGCAGACACUGACGAUGACGUGAGUCUUCAUCUUCCUCCUCUUGUGAUCGAUAGCGAGGAUGAAGAAGAGGAUGAUCUUAAACCUCUUGGUGAGGAAGAUCUUCCUCCUUUACCUCCGAUCAAAAAUGAUAAUGAAAGAGAUGAAGAAGAUCUGAAAUUCACAGACGAUGAUUUGGACCAAUCCGAGGAAGAUGACUCUGUUGCAACCUCUGAGCAUUUUGCUGACGAUGAAGAAGAAGAGGAAGACAUUGAGGAUGAAGAUUUUGACAAAGACGUCCUUGUAACAGUAGACGAAAAGAACAAGGAUGAACCUGAGGAUGAAGAUGACCUCCACGAUGAGGAGGAAUCCAUCAUCCCCUUGUCGUCAGCUUCAGAUAGUGGAGUUUUAGGUGAUGAAGAUGAGAAAGAUGACAUCUCCAUAAAGCUUGAUGAAGGCUUCAGUGGGGACUUAUCAACAAGUGAUGACUAUGAAUCACAGGACGAAAAUGAGGAGGAAGAGGAGGACGAAGAGUUCAAAGAAUCUUACAGUGAUGAGGAGGAACUAAGUGAAGAUGAAGAAGAUGAUGAUAACAUCUUGUUGGCAGGUACAGCAUCGAUGAUCUUUACAGCACAGCAGUGGAACAUCAAAGGAUUGUUACAUGUUGGUGCACAAAAAAGCUGUUUUGUGUCUUUGAAGCUGCAGCUGCAGCAGCCCUCCCUCACCAGGAGGAGGCACCAAAGACCGAUGAAGCUGAGGGUGGAGAGGAGCUCACACAGGAUGAGGAUGAAGACGAGCUGGUGGAGGCAGAAACAGAUUCCAGCCAGCUGGAGGAGGAAGAUGAGGAGGAAGAAGUUGGAGAAACCAAGGCAGAAUCCAAAGUGCAUGAACAGGAGGAUAAGAAAGAGGAAGAUGAUGAAGACAGCGAAGAAGAAAGAGCACCAGUGAAUGUUAUGAAACCUUUGCCUGAGGCGGAUUACGAAGCAGUGGAACCUGAACCUGGAGGUCCGAACCACAGGAAAAGAGUGUUUGUUCUGUCAGAUUUAGUGUGUAAUUUUAAUUUCUCUGUUUCUGAUUUCAGAGUGUCCCUGUUUGCACUCUGCAAAGAGCAAAGAACCUCCUAGCGGAAAAAGCAAAGGUUAGUGGGACUUUUUCACUUUACCACACUUAUUGUUCACUUGUUGUUCACAUGAAAACAUCAGAACUGUCUUCACGGGGCGGUUAAACACAACAAACCUUCUGUUUGUUCCGACAAACUGUAAACAUUAUAACAGAAUAUUAACUAAUAGCAAUCUUACUUUGCUGUGUUUUUUUUACAAACAUAAGUACAUAAAAUACAUAAAAAAAAUACCUAAAAACCUGGAAGACAUAAAAAAAUUCCCCAAAUUAUGAAUUUGUGGCCACACAUUUGUCUCUCAUAGCCACAAAUUGACAUUAAAUGAGCAUUUUGUGCUAACUUAUGCUAUAACUGACAGUUUUUAAAAAUUUAUCAGUUUUAAUAUUUUUUUUUAAUUUUAGGUGCUCCCAGGAGGGUUUCCGCUUUGAGAAGGAGAAAAGGUAAAUCUAAGUUUAAUGUAAAAGGACCAGAUAAAAGCUGUCUAUACUAGCAAAAGAAAAAGCCAAAGUAGUAUUUCUUAAAAUGAAAAUGUACUCAACCUUGUCCAGUGAGAUAAAUCCAGAUGCAUAAAUUGUCUUUUAACUUCUUGAGUUUUUGCUUUAAGGUCUGGAGUCUGUGAGCCCUGUUGAAAAACUUCAAAAACAAGGUGAGCCUGACAACACUGUUAUACCUUUUUUCAUGAACAGUUCAUCACUUUUCAUAUUUUUAUUUUUACUAUUGAUGAUUAUCUUCUCACAUUAUGUAUAGGUCUUCCCAGAAUUGCUGGUCUGGACUCGAAACCUAAGCGGGUCAGACUUGCACCUCUUCUCAAAGGUGAAAGACAAAAUUUCCAAUCAUUAAACAGAGGAUUUAGGAAGUGACUGAUACUAUGACAAACUCUAACUUUCCUUUUUUUUCCUUAUAGCCAAAUUAAAACAGAAGAGCAAGGCUGCAAAAAAAGGUAAUAGAUUAAGAUUUUUUGUUUUAGCAUUUCGAUGUAUAAUUCAAAUCCAUUUUAAUAAUCUGAUUAUAUUUAUAUUCAGAAAAAGAGACCAAAAAGCAGGAACACCUCACUGAAUCUGCACCAGAAGGUAUGAAAUUGUGUCUUUUUAAAUGUGAUUGUAAACCAAAGGUUUUUAUCCUCAUCACUGUUGC